CCCCGAGCACGCACAGUCACCGCCCAGCCGCAACCCCGCGCUCCCUCUCGCGAAGCCACACCCCCUGCGCACGCCGCGCGCGACGUCUCUCCCGCCCACUCCAGCCUGGCCCCGCCCCGGCCCAGCUACAUUCCCGGGCCAGCUUCUGUACUGCCAGGUCCGGGUCGGCGGCUGCACUGCGGAUGAGACCGGUGCGACUCAUGAAGGUGUUCGUCACCCGCAGGAUACCCGCCGAGGGUAGGGUCGCGCUCGCCCGGGCGGCAGACUGUGAGGUGGAGCAGUGGGACACGGAUGAGCCCAUCCCCGCCCAGGAGCUAGAGCGAGGUGUGGCGGGGGCCCAUGGCCUGCUCUGCCUCCUCUCCGACCACGUGGACAAGAGGAUCCUGGAUGCUGCAGGGGCCAAUCUCAAAGUCAUCAGCACCAUGUCUGUGGGCGUCGACCACUUGGCUUUGGAUGAAAUCAAGAAGCGUGGGAUCCGAGUUGGCUACACCCCAGAUGUCCUGACAGAUACCACCGCCGAACUCGCAGUCUCCCUGCUACUUACCACCUGCCGCCGGUUGCCGGAGGCCAUCGAGGAAGUGAAGAAUGGUGGCUGGACCUCGUGGAAGCCCCUCUGGCUGUGUGGCUAUGGACUCACGCAGAGCACUGUCGGCAUCAUCGGGCUGGGGCGCAUAGGCCAGGCCAUUGCUCGGCGUCUGAAACCAUUCGGUGUCCAGAGAUUUCUGUACACAGGGCGCCAGCCCAGGCCUGAGGAAGCAGCGGAAUUCCAGGCAGAGUUUGUGUCUACCCCUGAGCUGGCUGCCCAAUCUGAUUUCAUCGUCGUGGCCUGCUCCUUAACACCUGCAACCGAGGGACUCUGCAACAAGGACUUCUUCCAGAAGAUGAAGGAAACAGCUGUGUUCAUCAACAUCAGCAGGUAUCCUAGGGCCACCUUACCCAGCAAGCCUGGAGAGGAGCCAUCCCCACUGCUGCCAUCUGGAGAUUUUCUUCCCCGUGGGUUGUUGGGGCGACGUCGUAAACCAGGACGACCUGUACCAGGCCUUGGCCAGUGGUAAGAUUGCAGCUGCUGGACUGGAUGUGACAAGCCCAGAACCACUGCCUACAAACCACCCUCUCCUGACCCUGAAGAACUGUGUGAUCCUGCCCCACAUUGGCAGUGCCACCCACAGAACCCGCAACACCAUGUCCUUGUUGGCAGCUAACAACUUGCUGGCUGGCCUGAGAGGGGAGCCGAUGCCUAGUGAACUCAAGCUGUAGCCAAACAGUAGAGAUGGAGGGCCGGGAAGCAAACCGUGCCCUGGUAUUGUCAGACACACCCAGGCUUGAUUUGGAUCCACAGGCAGAGCCAAGGGAAGGUGUGAUUCUCUUGAGGAAAGAGUGAUUCUGAUAUAUGUACUUGUCACAUUGGUGUUGGACACAUUUGCGCCAAAAGUAUGGUAAUUCUAUUAUUAAAUAAUUCUCUGAGA
Molecule: RNA transcript, 1466 nt
Organism: Pan troglodytes (chimpanzee)
Lineage: Eukaryota; Metazoa; Chordata; Mammalia; Primates; Hominidae
Gene: GRHPR
Gene name: glyoxylate and hydroxypyruvate reductase
Exons: 9
Source: RefSeq, a predicted model, not a curated record